Molecule: ribosomal RNA, 403 nt
Filed under: Clostridioides difficile
Lineage: Bacteria; Bacillati; Bacillota; Clostridia; Peptostreptococcales; Peptostreptococcaceae
Description: bacterial SSU rRNA
Rfam family: Bacterial small subunit ribosomal RNA
Source: RNAcentral
CACUCUAGAGAGACUGCCAGGGAUAACCUGGAGGAAGGUGGGGAUGACGUCAAAUCAUCAUGCCCCUUAUGCUUAGGGCUACACACGUGCUACAAUGGGUAGUACAGAGGGUUGCCAAGCCGUAAGGUGGAGCUAAUCCCUUAAAGCUACUCUCAGUUCGGAUUGUAGGCUGAAACUCGCCUACAUGAAGCUGGAGUUACUAGUAAUCGCAGAUCAGAAUGCUGCGGUGAAUGCGUUCCCGGGUCUUGUACACACCGCCCGUCACACCACGGGAGUUGGAGACGCCCGAAGCCGAUUAUCUAACCUUUUGGAAGAAGUCGUCGAAGGUGGAAUCAAUAACUGGGGUGAAGUCGUAACAAGGUAGCCGUAUCGGAAGGUGCGGCUGGAUCACCUCCUUUCUAAG